RNAcentral lists this transfer RNA (84 nucleotides) under Loxodonta africana (African savanna elephant). It matches the Rfam family "tRNA". From Rfam's summary of the family: Transfer RNA (tRNA) molecules are approximately 80 nucleotides in length. Their secondary structure includes four short double-helical elements and three loops (D, anti-codon, and T loops). Lineage: Eukaryota; Metazoa; Chordata; Mammalia; Proboscidea; Elephantidae. The record is from Rfam by way of RNAcentral.
UCGCUGAUGGUUCAGUGGUAGAAUUCUCAUCUUCCAUGUGGGAGACCCGGGUUCAAGACCCAGGUUCAAUUCCUGGCCAAUGCA